This 76-nucleotide transfer RNA is filed under the name Cohnella pontilimi. Its description in RNAcentral is "Cohnella sp. CAU 1483 tRNA-Ala". It matches the Rfam family "tRNA". Rfam says of the family: Transfer RNA (tRNA) molecules are approximately 80 nucleotides in length. Lineage: Bacteria; Bacillati; Bacillota; Bacilli; Caryophanales; Paenibacillaceae. The record is from RNAcentral. RNAcentral also lists the same sequence under 1 other name.
GGGGACGUAGCUCAGCUGGGAGAGCACCUGCCUUGCACGCAGGGGGUCAGGAGUUCGAUCCUCCUCGUCUCCACCA